This is a long non-coding RNA of Columba livia (rock pigeon), 12540 nucleotides long. RefSeq lists it as uncharacterized. The record is from RefSeq and is a predicted model, not a curated record. Lineage: Eukaryota; Metazoa; Chordata; Aves; Columbiformes; Columbidae. The transcript is spliced from 2 exons.
AAUAAUGAAACUGUUGGUCGGUUUUUACUUAGAGUUGGAGGGUAAAUGGUGCUGGGCCCUCUGGGACUACUUCUAGUCUGUCAGUGAAGCUGUGGUCUCCUGUGCUGUUUCUGAAGGACGAGGUUUAAAAAAAGUCUGACUUCUCUUUCCUUCUAAUGUUUUCAUUAUUUAUAUAGAAAUCGUCAUAGUUAUGAAUGCUAGUGAAUUUGGGGACAUGUUGAAACAUUAUUGCAUAUAAACUAAUAGGUAUGAAAAGUGAACAUAUUUCUUUGAGACUGAACUAAAUGUAGGUUUAGUUUGGGGUUUUCUCCUCUGCCCUACCCCAUCGCUGCAGUAUUUGUACCCCAGAUCACUUUGAUUUCUGCAACUUUAAUAUGCUGUUCUAGUUGUAAGAGGUAGUUCUUACUCUACGGAAAUUGUGCCCCUCCCUGGGUAAGAUGAUGUAAUGUUAGUUAUGACUCAGCCAUGCAGAAAAUUGUCUGCAGGAAGAGGUAGUAGAAGUGCUAUGAUACCCUCUUAAAGUUAAAAUUUUUAGUAGCAGACUAAAAGGAUGUUCAAGUUAUGUUUUCUGUGGCUUGAAGUUACGUUAAAAUGUGCGAGUGCCAGGCAACAACCCUGUAUUUUCACUAGGAGACUGGUUUAUGAAAUGCGAACCGCUUCCAAAUGCUUAUUCCAGACUGUCAGGAUUUUUUUCAAUUGCAUAUGCCUGUGGUGCUUCAGUAAGCACAUGGUUAAACAGGUGUCCAGUCCUGUGACCACUUGUGAGAUAGGUGUUAUGUCAGCAAUAGAAUUGUCCACUGGACUGUGAACCCUGCUGGUGUGUCAUCCCGUAUCUACCUGGAGCUAAGUAUGUAUUUGAAGAUCUGAUGUCAAAUUAAAAUUAAGAUUAGUGAGUAACAAAUUUUGCUUGCUGUGUAAGAUACCUAAAUGACAAGGGUGAUGAUUGCAUCUAGAAGACUGGUUCUCCAAGGGUGUGUAAAAGUCGGCAUGGAUAACUCUGAGUCUUGGCUUCUAGCUUAGGCUGGCUUCCGUGAUUCUUGUAACACACCCAGUUUCGUAUGUUUUGUUAUUUUUUUGUAAGGGUAACUCUUAAACUUCCACUAUGAAAAUGAAAAUGCCAAACUUACACAUAGGCAAGUGAUUUUCUAGUUCUUGUGUUGUUAAGGGGUGGCUCAUCUAUUUAAGCCAGGGAUAUACAGAUCCAAAUCUGGCAUUCUAAUUUCUUGUUAUUUCUUUUUUAAAAUUAAUUUAUUUAAUGAAAAAGUUCUUGGUGUGGAUGCUUUUAGCUCAGAGUGAUCUGAAAUGCUUUUGUAAGCUACAUUUUGGUUUAAGAAAUCAUUUUAAUUAAGUAAUUUGGCUUAGAAACUCCCUUUUAGAAGAACUUAAUGUUUGUAUUUUUUUUUUAAUGGAAGCCAGAUUGAGUUGAAGCUAGCUUUUCUUUAUUUUUAUUUAGCAUUCACAAUAAAAAAAAUCCCAGCUUUUGAGUGUGCUGCAGCAGCUAAAUUAUCUGGUGGGGGGGGUGCAUACAGGUGGAGAAUCUUGUUAAUUCAUCCUAAUCUCAAAAUGUAGUUGAAUUUCUCUUUGUAUUUAAUAAGAGAUACAUGCAUUAUUAAAACAAAUUCUUAUUUCGAGGUAUUACUAAUUUUGGGCAGCUAACAUCUUACUAAUCUUUAGUGCUGACAGUCCAUCUUUUUCUGUUAGAUUUAGAAAAAAAUGCUGUCUAGAAAAAACAAUGCCUUAGGCAGUGAUUAGCAGUAAUAAAACUAUUUUUUUAGACUUAGAUUUAAAAAGAAAAAGAAACCUUUUUUUUUAAAUUCAUGGGAUAUGAUUUUAAAAUGCUUUCAAGCAGUAGACACUACAUUUGACAUUUCUAAUUGCAUGGAAGAAUUAGAUUUAUAUUUUAAAACACAUUCUUGUUUCUUUGUUGGAAUAUUCUGUUCACAUACGUUCCUACUUACCUAGAAAGAUGACUGACCAUAUUGCUUUAUUUGGCAUUGACUUUGCCUUAACAGAGAAGAAAGAAUUAUGGUAAUAUUUAGUUGUGUUUUUAUGAACAGGAGUCUGCACAAGGCUACACGCAAGCAUAGAACUAGUGUGGUGGGUUUUUUUCUGAAGAUCCUCUCUCAUUUUUGUACAGCACAAUAGAGUCUGUAACUAUUCACAGACGUAAGAAACAAGGCUAACCAAAUUUUGACUGAUGUGAAGGAUGCCAUUAAUAAGACCUGAAGUGUUAACAAAUUUUCAAAGCUUUCGGUCACAAGUCUUAUCUAUUACAGUACAAAAGCAGCUCAGAAACUUUCGUAUCUUUUAUUAAGACUGUGAAUCUGUUGGGGCUGUUGUUGUAUCAUCAAUUGCUUGCUAGGUUCUUAAGUAAUAUUUAAUACCCUGGGGUGUUAUAUCACAGCUGAGCGUGGAAGUGAUUGGUGUCCUAACUUAGUGUUGAAGGGAGGACACCAAUUAAGAGAAUGUGACUAGCAGAGUGUGGCCAAAGCUGGCUCCUCUGCACCUUCUCACACUCUUUCCUCAUUUGUUGGAAUUGAAUUACUAGUGGGUGGGAAGAAAUAGCUCUUCUAAUCCAAUACACUAAAUAGUGCUGGGUUCUGUUCCCAGUGCUUCCACAGACUUACGGAGUGAGUAAGAGCAAUUAAUGCUGGACUCUUUUCUUGCUGCAUAACUACUAGACUCAGUGAUAAAGAUUUUAGGGGUUAUGUGGGUCAGGUCCAACUAUUUAUUUUUGUCCUUCACACUGACCUUGCAGCAGGAAAAGCCAGCAUCUGCAUCCUUGCCACUUCCUAAAUCUUCCCGGACUUGAACCUGAAGUGAAGUACCUUUCCAACUCUGCAAGCCGCUGAACUUGUGCUCUUGUUUGCUGCAGCCUUAGUGCUGCUGUACGAAUGAUAGACACCUAAAGUCUCUUGGUCCAGCACUGAUUCUGUCAGAUAUACACUGGAGUAUAUUCAGGUGUAUUAUAAUUUGGAGUUGGUCUGGUAGUGCUGAUAAACUGCAAGUAAUUGUGGCACACUGUGCAUAGUACAAGUUCCUUGCACUGUAACAAUAAACACCGAAUUUCCAAAUUGUUAAAGAAUAAUUUAGCGUGUGUUGGGAAGGAAGUCCAUUGCCAUACUUGAGCACUUUAAAUAUACUUGAGUAUGAUAGAAAGUUUCCAGCCUCAGAAAUUUCAUAUUGAUACAGGAAAUUAAGCUUUUUGUUAAGUACUUUACCUCAUGUUAGCUAAGUGUACUUCACAGCCUGUUUCACUUUCUGUAGUAGAAUAGAGGGUCUGUCUAAACCUUAGCAUAACGAUCUUCUAUUUAUCAUUUCCAUAAUAAAAAUUGUUAUUAGUCUAACAGGUGUGGAUUUUCUUCAGAAUGCUUUUUGCAGUUAAUGGGAAACAGUUGUAGCUGAAGUGGUUCAAGUUAAAUCUGUAGUAAGAUGAAUUUUUCAGCUAACAAGGAUUCUGAAGUACAGAGAAGAAUGUACGGAGAGGUCUUUGAAUAGCUACCAUCUGAUACUGCUUCCAUGUUAGAAGUUCUCAGGAGCUUUAAACUACUAGUAGCUUUCAGGCAGUUUCUGACACAAGCUAAAUGUGAACUAAUCAUUUAAAACAUGACUGGCUAUCUUCAGUAUGAAUGUAAUUCUAGAGAGUUCCACUUUCUUCCCUAGGCUGCACAUGCAGCAGUAGUUCCCGGUGUGUCUUCUGAAGUGUGCGCUGUGUGACAGUUGCCAUGUUCUUUCCCAUGCUCAGUCUGGGAAAUGUCUCUUCCUCUUCCAAGUUCCCCCACAGCCAUACCUUACAUAAAUCUUUUUGCUUAAAAUGCCCAAAUGCUCGGUUUCAAUGUGUGUGUUUGUUUGUUUUGUGGGUUGGUUGUUUUUGGUGUUGUUUUGUUUUUUCCUUUUGGUUGUUCCCUGUAAGAUUUAGAGAGCUUCCCAAAACCUUUGCUCCCUUUCAGCAUUCUGGAGUUCCUGUUGCACAUGGGUGGUACACAGCAGUUUGUACCUGCUCCCUCCCUGGCAGAAAAGGUUCAUCACCCUCUCAGCAAGAUUGUUCGUGUUCUUUUCCAGGUUGUUAUUUCUUCCAGAUGUGCUCAGAUACGUAAAAUGGUACUGCUUGUGUGCUUAUACUGUUUAGAUUUUUUUGUACUUGUUAUGGAUGCUUCACUUUUUAGAAGUGGUAAUUGCUGUGAGAAGGUGAAAUUAAAUCUCAACUAAGUGACUUUAUUUUGUGUUUCUUUCAUAUGUAUGUUGUUUGGGGGGAGUAGGAGAGGUUCAGUAACCUGUCAUGGGGCUGCAGUUCACUGGGAGAUAAGGGAGUGCCAUUCCAUUUAGAAUGCAUCUAAAUGGCUUUUUAAAGAAUAUACCACAGAAUUAAUGCCUAUUGCUGUCAUAGUCAAAUUACUGAGAGACUAUUUUCUAGUUGCCUGCGAACAUCUAACAGGUUACUAUAUUAACAUCUAUAAAACCUGUUUCUGCACUAAUUCUUAAUGACAGCAUUAGGAAACAUAGUCCUCUCAGCUAACCUAUAGGGUGGUGCUAACAAGCAGAUGAGUAGAUUGCUUAGGAGCCCCUGGUGACUGAGCAUACCAUACAACCUUCUGUGCUAUGGAAACAUCUGAUACUAACAUAAAAUUCCAUGUUUUUAUGGAAAAUUGCUGCGUUUAGCUCUGUGAUGCCUUCAUGCUUGCUUAAUUUUUUAAUUAAUCCUUUAAUUGCUUCCCUGGUUGUAGCUACACACCUUCAGAGUUUGGGGUUUUUUUGACUGUUGGGGUUUUAGUUUGUUAUUGUUUUCAUUUGGGUUUUUGUGCAGUUAAAGCACUAGAGCAAUUUGCUUUCUUUUUUUAAACAAACGGUCUUUUUUUUUAACUGUUGAAAAACUGUUGGAUCUUGGAGAAUUAAAACAUCAUUCAUGGAUCAGUUCAAAUAUGAGAUAACUUGUGUUGGUGUUCAUGUAUUCUACAGUGUUUGCAUGAUUGUUUGUAAAUUCAUGAAACUUUAGCUCAUGUUUAAAAGGAUUUUCGAUUCCAGCAUAUAGAAUUGGUUUAUCAGUGGUUGGGCUGCAUGAGCCAAAGGUGAGUUGGUACUUAUUAAUCUUAGCAAGAAGUAUAUCCAUAAUGUUGACGUGUGGUCAAUGCAUCUAUUUAUCAUAAAAUCAGCUGAGAUGCUCUGCAUAAAUGCAAAAAAAAAAAUUUAAACACGCAUUUAGCUCUACUUAAAUUAGCUGUGCAUACAUGUAUACACACAUAUACAUGUGCCUAUAUCUUCUUGCAUUUAUUGGAAGUAGAAUAAGUCUUUGCUAUAACCAAUAGUCUGUAUUAAUUUCAUUUGGCCUUAAUGUUUAAUAAUUGGUUUUGAUUUAUAAAAGAAAGUACGUAGUAUUUAUUCUGUUCAAAAGCAUCCGAGUAACAAUUGGCUGUAUUUGACAGCAGCCUUCAGCGUUCCAGUACCUUACUGCUGUUACACAGUUUUAAGCAGCAAAAUAAAAUAAAUCAAUUUGGUCACCUGUGACAGACACUCUUCUUCCGUGCUGUUGAAGCAGCAAGGAUUUCAUUGCAUGUACUUGUAAUUCUGCGAAGCUGCUAACUGUGUGUAUUUCACUGGUUGGUUACUUGGAAGGCUGAUAGUAGAAACGCUGCCCUGUUAAGAUACCAACUUUUACUGUGCCUGUGAAAGCUGUAAGUGGUAGAAAUAUAAAAUUCACAACGUGAGCAGAGUUAGUGCAUUGUCCCUGUACAUCUGUAUAAGCAGAUGCUACACUCUCUGGUUUAAUCUGGAAGCUUCUGUCUUGUUACCAUGCACUUGACACAAGUAAACAUUUCUGAAACAGGUUCUCAAACGCUUAACUUGUUCUUCACUGCAGGCAGAUGCUCCGAACCUGAAGCUGAUUCUCCUUUCAGGUGGUAGUUGACUACCGUUUUGAAAUGGUUUGAGAAAGCUUGUGCUAUUAAAGUUGGUUGAAAAGCAUUAAGAUUGUGAUUAUUUCUUAAACUUUUUACUGAAUAUCAGUGCUUGUGUAGUUGCUUAUUUUUCUUGAAAUCUGAGAGAAGAUUGGUGAUGCCUCUUCUAAUGAGAAGUAGUAAGAAUAAGUCAUGCUGCUGCUGAGAUGAAUGGUAAAUUCUUAAUUUUUUUUAAUCAGAUUUAAUGGAGCUCAAAUGGGGUAGGAGGCAGUUGUGGGUUGUACUGGUGGUGAUUUUUUCUCUGGAUGUUGUUACCCUUUGUGAUUAUGCAGGUAACAAAACAUUUAACAAUGGGAAUCUGAUCUCUAACUGAUGGUAUUCUCCUAGUGCAGAGUAGGCUUACAUGGCUAAAAUGGCUUUUUUGCUAAUAAAGUGCUUUUAUUAACACUGUAUGUUAUAACAAACCUCUGGUAGAUACAUAGUCUGGUUUAGGAGGUUUCAGAUCUGCUCAGAGUGCAAGCUGCUAAAGAUAAAUGUUUCCUACUUCGUUUCUUAUCAAGGAUAAAAAGUGUGAUAUGUUUAUGGGGUUUUUUAGUAGUGUUUCUUCAGAGACCAAAACUGUGGAGUCUUAAAACAGCUAGAACGUGUUCUCGUGCAGAGUACGGCCACAGUGUUUAUUGCUUAGACCUCCCUGUCUGGCAGAAAUUCUCAUCCAACUUUAUUGGUUUCAAUUUUGUGUUAUCUCAAGUUUCUUAGAAGAUGUUCUGUUUCUUGAAAGAGUAACGAUUGAUGCAUUUGGCACCAUUCUAUUUUGCUGCCAGUCCCCCAAUAUUCACAAAAUAAAUUAAUGAGGUGGUUAAAAAAGAAGUGAAAAUUGUGUAUUGGCUUCUCCUCAGAGAAGACUGAUUUGUGUAUUAAUGUCUAUAGCAAUGCCUCAACAAAUUAGAUACUUUAUUCCUAAUUAUUUUUCUAUUAAAUGUCUUAUUGGAUGUUGCCUUUCGUAUGAGUUUUCUCAGAGUUGGUUACUGACCUGGAGAGGUAUUUUUCCUUAUGCGUCAGAAUUCAGUUCCUUCACUGUCAUGUGCCGUUAAGCAUGCUGUGUUAAAAACCUUGUAAUUAUUGGCAUGAAUGACUCGGAGUCUUUUGAAGGGUGACCUCAUCGCAGUCUACAACUUCCUCACGGGAGGGGCAGCAGAUGGAGAGAUGCCCAUCACCUCUCUGGUGACCAGUGAUAGGACACGGGGAAAUGGGAUGAAGCUGCUUAAGGGAGGGGAAGUUCAGGUUGGACGCUGGCGAAAGGUUCUUCAGUGAGAGGGUGGUCAGUUGCUGAAAAAGGCUCCCCAGGGAAGCGAUGACAGCACCAAAGCUGUCAGAGUUCAAGGAACGUCCAGACAACGCUCUUAGUCAUAUAGGUUAGUUUUAGGUAGUGCUGCAGGGAGCAAGGAGUUGGACUUGAUGAUCCUUAUGGUUCACUUCCAACAUGAGGUACCUAUGAUUCUACAGAUAGUUUCAAAUAAUAUAUCCUAAUAUUAAGCACAUCGCUUCCCUUGCCAUGUAUACUAAUUGGAAAGUGAAGUGGUAGAAGGAACAAGGUAGUGAAGUGCACAGUAGUCCAAGUUGGGGAGGGCAGGUCUGCAAGGAGAGCUAUGUGUAUGUCUGCAAAAGUGUGGAAUGAGAGAUGUUCCUCCCCAUUGCCUCGCUUCCCAUCCUUUUCUUUUUAUGUGGACACGUAGUGUGUCAGGCUGCACAUGCCAUAUCUUCCCUCUAAGCACCCUGUAGGUAUUUUGGUGCAUACACCUGCUGAGUUAUUUCUGUCCCCCAGCAUAUGUGUCAGCAUGGAGAUGGUUUUUCUGGGUGUUAUACUUACUUCUCCCAUGUUUUUCUCUUUCUGCCCAUAUGUGAAUGCUGCUUUUGUUCUCUAAAGAAACAUGUUUAGACUGUUCUAGUAGUAUGCUUUUUAAUAAGCUAAAAUUUAUUGCCAUUUUUUCUGUUAUGCAGGAUUCCUUUUUCUGCAUUAGUCCAUUAGUUCUUUUUUUCAGUUACCCUCUCAUUACUCAGGCCUCGUUUCCUUUACUUUUUCCCUUUCUAGAUCUUCACCAGAAUGACUGCAGCAAAGCUGCUAACCCAAGUGUCCCUUCCCCUUCCCUUGGUAUUCCUGCAUGUCACAUCUCCCACUUGGCAUGAGAUUCACAAUCACAUUCCUCCCUGCCCCCUGAAGGUCCUUUGUCCCAAAUUCUGAAUUCCUCCCUUGCUCUGGUUCUUUGUUCUCACCUCAUCUUUUCCAGCCAGCCUUCUCACCUUUAUCAAACUUGUGCUGCUGUUUGUGUGGGCAGCAAAUUUGAUGGGAAGAGAGAAUAACUGGUACUGAGAAGAGGCAGCAGGCUUGUUUCCUUCUUCAGGAGAUAUUUUACUGUAAACGUCUCCAGUGCCACAGCAGCCACUAGUGUUUGACACAUUUUCUUGUAUUCCUGUUCAAGUGAGCAAAUGAGUAGAUCGAAAUCUGUAGUUAACUGUAAACACAGGCUUUGCUUUUGGCUGGAGUAGGAGGCUGACAGCAGAACAGUCCUUGGGUUUCCCUCCAAGAGGGUUGGAGGUCACCCAUGAGGCAGCAGUUGCAGAGCCCCGGCCUGGGCUCUGGGUAGAGCUAUAAUCAGAAGCAGUGUAGUGAGCCUGUCUCAUAAAAGCCUGCGUUUGGGAAGGGAUUGUCUAAAAAAUAUUCUUAAAAAUACUAAUACAUGUCAUUUUCCUCCAAUAAUUCAGGUAGACGUGUGUAAAUAAAAUAUCUGCUGGCCACAAAUGAUUUGUAUAAACCCCUUGUAGUGUGGGUGCCAAUCUGCAGCGCAGCUACUUGCACGUAUUGUUUUGUAGCCCAAUUACUGUUCCAAACUGUGGCACUGAGGCAGAAAACACAUGCAGUGAAAAUCACACGCUAGCUUUUUAUGGGAACGAUGGGUGUCUUGAGCUUGUCUGACACAAGGGGCCUACUUUAAUAACUUUGUCAUCAAAAUAAAGUCUGUAAAAUAAUAGCUUAACAACAGUGUGCUACAGUUACCAUGCUGGUUGGUUAGCAAGUUCCACUUGAAACUAGGUAUGUGUAGCUCUUCCCACAAAGCUUGCACCUGCAAACGCUGCUCUGAAUCAGUAUUUUUAAUGUCUACCUAAGUACAGCUGCUACUGAAUAUGUGUAAUUUGUUUCAAAUACUCACGCUCGGCUGCACAGGUAGUCAGAAAGCAGCAAACCAGCAUUGUAACAGCAGUCUGGGUAGGUCUGUGUCUCCUGCCACUAAGGAAGCGUUGUUGCCCUGGGAUCAUUGGAACACAAGGGGAGCUUGGUAUUCUCUGGGUUGCAGCUGGUAAUAACGUGUGCUGAGACCAAGCCUUUGAUAAAGAGAAAUACGCACAAAACUGGUAGCAACAAGGCAAAGCUGAGGUAUUGGUUUUGAUGUUCUUUAUGAUGAAUUUGGGAAUAGUCUUCUCACCCACACAAGUCAUGUGCCAAAGCACAUGAUUUUAAGACCAGAGUAGUUUUAGGCUUCAAGUGUCAGGAAAGGACCAUUCAAGUCUGUAUGGGUUGGCUUCUUGUAUUCAACUGAAGUUCUCACCACAACUUGACAAACUGAAACAUUUCUACUUGCAGUAAGAAGCAGGCAGACUUCUUGUAGAGGGUUGGGUGUUGUGUUUUCUUACACACAAUUACUACUUUUUAUGUUUCCUUAACACUCUUGAAUCUGACAACUCUUUACCUUUCAGACUUUAUCUUGCAAAGCUGCAGGAACAAAUCUGUAGGGUCUUUCAUCAAAACAGGCUCAAAAGAUGUGCUUAAUGUUGCCAUCUGUUGACUGUGUCCUGCUCUGGCAAAGAACACUUUUAAGAAUGAAGAAAGUGAAUCUCCCAUCAGGCUAAUGUUUUAAAAACAGGAUUGAAGUUGCUAAUAGUAUAAUAAAGUGUGCAUGUAGCCUCGGUUAAAUCUUUAAAGACAUUUAAAUAAAUACUAGUGCAUACUUGCUGAGGGUGGGGGAACGUGCCAGAUUUAUGAGAUUUGUUAUCUCUGGUAUGUGUGAGCAUAGCUGACAUCUUCUGAGUGUGAAUGUGCUGUCUUUCCCAGUCCAGAGAACCAGAAAGCUGUUAACUUAGUCAUAAUCACCAUUGCAGAUGUGAAGUGUUGAAGCCUGAUCUUUUAACAGCCAGUGUACUGGUAAGAGUUGAUAUUUAGUACAGGCAUCUUUGUGUUUUAAAAAGGUAGUAGUUUUCCAUUAAGUCUUUCUAGAAAGACUGUAUAAGACUUUGCUAUGAGAAGUAUUAGAAGCACUUGUACAAGCUGUUACAGGUUUUGGCUGAAAAGUGCUAUAAGAUGCUGCUGCAUCUGCCUAAUUGACUACAGUGCUGUGGUUUGUUUCACAGCACUUAAGAGUCUUGCUGUCAAAUUAAAAGCUCUGACAGUUACAGCUGAGUAGUUGUGGGGCUUGGAGGGCUGGGAGCGGUGGUUUGAUUUUGUAUGAUAAGCUAUUUCUACCACAUUCUGAUCGAGGCACUGUAAUUAACUGCCCAUGGAGUUGUAGUUAGUGCAUAUUAGUAUAUGUAAAAAAUGGAAAAUGGAUGGGGAUUUAGCACAAUAGGAGAAAUGUCAUGAAUGAGCAUGAAGGUGUAACAUGCCAUGUAGCUAUAAAUUCAUGUGCUAUAUGGACUUCAGUUGUCAGGGUGUUGUGUGCAUUGCAGUGAUGUGGAUCACCUAACAAACUUAGUAAUUACAGAUCAGCUUACUGCUCCAGUCUUGGGCUAGCUGUUAGCACACAAGUGGCCCGUGUGGUGAUCAGCUCUAUACUGGUAAACAUUGUCACAUUAACUGAUAAAAGAGAAAAAGGUUAUGCAUAUAUUGAUGGUACUAUCAAAACAGUUCUUGUUUCUGUUUCUUCUGCUUCGGACAAACAGAACCCAUCAGUAGGACUUAAAUGUCAAGAUAUUCUUCCUUGUGGAAAAAUUGUAUCCUCCAGAGAAGCCUUGCAGCUAAAACUAUUUGCAAACAAAAAAGAUAAACAGUAUUCCCCAUAAGCAGAUGUGUUAGCAGAUGAAGUGUGAGAUUGGUCAUGACUUUUGUUACGCCUAACAUUUUAUGUUGUCUUCUGGAAUUGAAUUCUAAAAGGUCAGUAGUCUGUAUGGAUUUCUGUAGACACAGCGCCUCUGUGCAAGUAGCAGCUUUCACAGCCGUUCUCUAGGAUAAAUCAGUGUACUCUGAAUCUUCAGGCUGACUUUAAAGGAGUGUUUUGUGUUUACUUAUGCCAGUAAAAGAAAAUAUAUCCUGAAAUAAAAAGACUGGUACAAACAGGAGAAACCGAAUAUAUAGUGCUAGAUAAAUAAUCAGGGAGAGAUCUCCAUUCAGUAAUUUUACAUGCUAGCUUUUAAAUGUUAAUCUGCUUUCAAGUUUUGUUGUUUCUGUUUAUGAAGUAUUUGACAUAAACAAAAUUCUCCCAAAGAAAUGUGGCCUACCAGUCCUGCGAGUUGUUUAUGUAGAACAGUGUCUUUCAUCCAGAUAUGAGCAAGCUACCAGUGCAGUCUCAGAGCCAGAGCUGCUUUGCAGAGGCUAUAUUCUGUGAAUAGCUGUUGAGGGGGAUUUUCUUAGUUUGUCAGUCUUCUAGAUUCAACAUGGGUUUAAAACUUUUUUCAGUAGUGACCUAAGUGAAGUUUAAGUCUGGUAGUGUGGUUGCUGCUAUGGGAGUGAGCAGAGCUGUACUUUUUAAUCAAACAACCUUGUAUGCAGAUGAUGAAUAAUUUCUUUCUCUAGAAUCCCUGACAGUAUUUUGGUCUGACCAGUUAAUGAAGGGUAGAGAAGGAGGGCAACUCCCCAUAGUGCAGACUGACAGACCUGACUUAAUUGCAGUCCUCCAGAGAAGCGCUAAUAAGGAGCCUUAUUCUCAGUAGCUGGGAACCUUGAGUUGUCUUUGAAGUCAGGGUUUCUUGGCACUGAUGAAUGGCACCUGUGAAUCUUGAAGUUCUCUGACGGCGAGAGCAGAACGUGUAAGUAGUUCCAGGGAGCUGAAGCGUGUCAGCCGUGUACCUCAUGGCCUUGUACUGUGUUCCAGCUGUGCUGGGGCAGAGGGGGCUCCCAGCCCUUCUCAUCACAUCGUGGUGUGCCACCCAGAAGGGUGCCCUUGGCACCAGGUGGCUCAGCAGCCCAUUAGACUGGCUCCUUCAAAAUACUUGUCCUGCCCACUUGGCUUGUGUUGUGCUUUCUCUGUUACCAAAGGAUUGUCUCUGCUGUUAUUCAUGUGAUGGGAAGCAAGUACAUGCAGUAUUUAUUUUGUCUCCCUGCUUUGUUAUAAUAUGAAGCUAUAUACCAACCCCAACAAUACUGGAAUACUUGUUGUUAAAGAUCAUUGAAUAAAUACCUUCCAUUUUGUUGAAAGCAAUGAAGAAAGUCCACUAAUGGGUUUUUAUCUCAUUGGAGCAUAGGCAUAGCUGAACCUUGCCUGAUUUUGGUUUCCGUUAGACAGACUUUUUCAUUACCUGAGCUGCUGAGAUAGAAAUGAGAAAGCUGCCAUAAUAGGUCAUUUUGUUUUGAAAGGUUGUACAUGGUUGAGGCUACCAAGCUCAAUAUUCCUGAUUUAUAUAAAGCAAUUAGCAAUACAUAAAAAAAAAAAAAAAAAAAUAAAAA